UAGGGAAUCUUCGGCAAUGGGGGGAACCCUGACCGAGCAACGCCGCGUGAGUGAAGAAGGUUUUCGGAUCGUAAAGCUCUGUUGUUAAGGAAGAACGAGUGUGUGAAUGGAAAGUUCAUACUGUGACGGUACUUAACCAGAAAGGGACGGCUAACUACGUGCCAGCAGCCGCGGUAAUACGUAGGUCCCGAGCGCUGUCCGGAUUUAUUGGGCGUAAAGCGAGCGCAGGCGGUUAGAUAAGUCUGAAGUUAAAGGCAGUGGCUCAACCAUUGUAGGCUUUGGAAGCUGUUUAACUUGAGUGCAGAAGGGGAGAGUGGAAUUCCAUGUGUAGCGGUGAAAUGCGUAGAUAUAUGGAGGAACACCGGUGGCGAAAGCGGCUCUCUGGUCUGUAGCUGACGCUGAGGCUCGAAAGCGUGGGGAGCGAACAGG
Molecule: ribosomal RNA, 429 nt
Filed under: Bacteroidota bacterium
Lineage: Bacteria; Pseudomonadati; Bacteroidota
Description: Bacteroidetes bacterium partial 16S ribosomal RNA
Rfam family: Bacterial small subunit ribosomal RNA
Source: RNAcentral